GACUUUUUAAAAAUCACCAAAGUUUUUGGCAAACUUUAGGAGCUCUUUCCCCCACCCUGUAAUUAAAGCAGAAGUAAACAGUAAAAGAAUAUCAAAUUGCAGCUCGCUUCAGGAAUAGAUUCCCAAAUGGAGCUGCUGCUUGUCCUAACCUGUGCUUUGAGACAGAAGGACAGCCUCUCUGGGGAGCACUCUAAUGGGUCCCCAGAUCUGACACAUCAAGAUUAAGACCUGAAGAUUUGGAGCUGAGAGAGGAGAAAGGAACUCCAGGUCCAGGUGGGCUUUUUCCAUGGAGCCUGAGACUUAUGAUGCCAGGUGCCUGGACAAAGCUUCCAGGUUGCGGAUGCCGGUACCACGGAUGGUUCUCGGAGGAUGCAAGUAAAUUUCUAGAAUGUGGGGUAGAACGCAGAACAGUGUUCCAUGGCUUCUCAGAGGAGAUUUUUAUGGGCAUGCCAUUGCUUCCAGGUAACUGGUAAAUUCUACUCCCUGUGGAAGAUUCUGUAUCUCCAUGUCUACUUCUUAGGAGGCAGAUUUAGUCUGCCUACAAAGUCCUGCCACAUCACAAGGCAGGAAACCAGCA
RNAcentral lists this long non-coding RNA (577 nucleotides) under Piliocolobus tephrosceles (Ugandan red Colobus). Its description in RNAcentral is "lncRNA (ENSPTEG00000018635.1)". The record is from RNAcentral. Lineage: Eukaryota; Metazoa; Chordata; Mammalia; Primates; Cercopithecidae.